GACGAACGCUGGCGGCGUGCUUAACACAUGCAAGUCGAACGGAAAGGCCCUGCUUUUGUGGGGUGCUCGAGUGGCGAACGGGUGAGUAACACGUGUGUAACCUGCCCUUGACUUUGGGAUAACUUCAGGACACUGGGGCUAAUACCGGAUAGGCGCUCCUGCUGCAUGGUGGGGGUUGGAAAGUUUCGGCGGUUGGGGAUGGACUCGCGGCUUAUCAGCUUGUUUGUGGGGUAGUGGCUUACCAAGGCUUUGACGGGUAGCCGGCCUGAGAGGGUGACCGGCGACAUUGGGACUGAGAUACGGCCCAGACUCCUACGGGAGGCAGCAGUGGGGAAUAUUGCACAAUGGGCGGAAGCCUGAUGCAGCAACGCCGCGUGCGGGAUGACGGCCUUCGGGUUGUAAACCGCUUUCGCCUGUGACGAAGCGUGAGUGACGGUAAUGGGUAAAGAAGCACCGGCUAACUACGUG
Molecule: ribosomal RNA, 468 nt
Filed under: uncultured bacterium
Lineage: Bacteria
Description: partial 16S ribosomal RNA
Rfam family: Bacterial small subunit ribosomal RNA
Source: RNAcentral